GAAUCGGGAUUUAAAUGGAUAUGCCCAUCAUAAAAACUGUAGGUUGUGUUACGGCACAUGGCAGAAAGAUGCACUGUCAAUACUUUCGAUUCCAGUUCCAGAGGCGGCGCAGACAGCAUCUGCAAGAUAUAUACGUGGGACGAGUGGUCAGACCGCAAUAGCUCGUGUCGGGAGGGAUGCUGAUCAUAUCAACAGGAUUAUUGGCAGGGGUUAUCAGAGAGCGCCACCCGCUGCUCAAACACGGGAGCUACCCCUUCUGACCAUGUUUGUGCAAAAGCUGAUGGACAGAAGAUGGACGAAAGAAGAGAAAGGCUUUUUAGGUUCCAUCAUCUGCUACACAAUGUUUGUUAACCUGCUACGGCUAAAGAAGAAGGACAAGAGCGUGGAGGCAAGCUGAGCCUGUGGAUAUGAUCUACACUGCUUCCUGACUGACUUUAUUGAUGCUGAGCGUUGCUAAGAGACUGAACCAAAAGUGUUACUCUAGUGUAUAGGCUACACUCUUGUGUUAUAUUAGGUUAAUUGUGUUUCCAUAGCUAGGGCUGAUAGUGAAGACUUGUAAAGAGCAGAAUCAACAACCUCUGCAUAAUCAAAACAGUUCCUUUGUGAGAAGGUGUUUGUAUUUGUUUUUAUUAAGCAUCCCCAUUAGCUGCAGCUACUCCUCCAGGGGUCCAAACAAGAUUAUGGCAAUUACCGUUAACCCAUGUUCACAGUUAGCCACUAAUAUGUAACUCCAGCCAGAAUAGUCCCAGCGGCCUUACCUUGGCCACAAGUCAGGGCAUGUUCACUGAGGCCAUGGCCCGAUGAGUCCCAGGAGCAGGGUGUGAAGGUGGAAACACAAAAGUCUGAGGCUUUUUGGUAAAACACUGGGGUAAAUCCUCAGUGGAAAUGCACCACAAGUCUCUUGAAUUUCAGGGUGCAGCAUGUUCUUUUUUGGCACAUUGUAACCACAGCUGAUCGCUUCAAAAUGAGUGAAGACAGUGGAGCGUGGUGCAAGACAAAUAUGGUAAAAUGGAAUUAAAGGUUUGAAGAUGAGAGCUGGA
Non-coding RNA from Salmo salar (Atlantic salmon), 1040 nucleotides. NCBI's taxonomy places the organism in Eukaryota, Metazoa, Chordata, Actinopteri, Salmoniformes, Salmonidae. The record is from RefSeq and is a predicted model, not a curated record.